This 70-nucleotide transfer RNA is filed under the name Aulacochilus grouvellei. RNAcentral describes it as "tRNA-Lys". The record is from RNAcentral. Lineage: Eukaryota; Metazoa; Arthropoda; Insecta; Coleoptera; Erotylidae.
CAUUAGAUAACUUAAAGUAAGUGCUGGUCUCUUAAACCAUAUAAUAAUAACUAACGCCUAUUUCUAAUGA